RNAcentral lists this ribosomal RNA (550 nucleotides) under uncultured bacterium. RNAcentral describes it as "bacterial SSU rRNA". It matches the Rfam family "Bacterial small subunit ribosomal RNA", at positions 355 to 896 of the family's 1533-position model. The record is from RNAcentral.
UAGGGAAUCUUCCGCAAUGGGCGAAAGCCUGACGGAGCAACGCCGCGUGAGUGAAGAAGGUCUUCGGAUCGUAAAAUUCUGUUAUUAGGGAAGAACAAAUGUGUAAGUAACUAUGCACGUCUUGACGGUACCUAAUCAGAAAGCCACGGCUAACUACGUGCCAGCAGCCGCGGUAAUACGUAGGUGGCAAGCGUUAUCCGGAAUUAUUGGGCGUAAAGCGCGCGUAGGCGGUUUUUUAAGUCUGAUGUGAAAGCCCACGGCUCAACCGUGGAGGGUCAUUGGAAACUGGAAAACUUGAGUGCAGAAGAGGAAAGUGGAAUUCCAUGUGUAGCGGUGAAAUGCGCAGAGAUAUGGAGGAACACCAGUGGCGAAGGCGACUUUCUGGUCUGUAACUGACGCUGAUGUGCGAAAGCGUGGGGAUCAAACAGGAUUAGAUACCCUGGUAGUCCACGCCGUAAACGAUGAGUGCUAAGUGUUAGGGGGUUUCCGCCCCUUAGUGCUGCAGCUAACGCAUUAAGCACUCCGCCUGGGGAGUACGACCGCAAGGUUG